This 379-nucleotide ribosomal RNA is filed under the name uncultured eukaryote. Its description in RNAcentral is "partial 18S ribosomal RNA". It matches the Rfam family "Eukaryotic small subunit ribosomal RNA", at positions 592 to 976 of the family's 1831-position model. The record is from RNAcentral.
CAAUAGCGUAUAUUUAAGUUGUUGCAGUUAAAAAGCUCGUAGUUGGAUUUCGGAUGGGACUUGCCGGUCCGUCGUUUCGAUGUGCACUGGCCAGUCCUAUCUUGUUGUCGGGGACUAGCUCCUGGGCUUCACUGUCCGGGACUAGGAGCUGACGAGGUUACUUUGAGUAAAUUAGAGUGUUCAAAGCAAGACUACGCUCUGAAUACAUUAGCAUGGAAUAACACGAUAGGACUCUGGCUUAUCUUGUUGGUCUGUGAGACCAGAGUAAUGAUUAAGAGGGACAGUCGGGGGCAUUCGUAUUUCAUUGUCAGAGGUGAAAUUCUUGGAUUUAUGAAAGACGAACUUCUGCGAAAGCAUUUGUCAAGGAUGUUUUCAUUAA